This 410-nucleotide ribosomal RNA is filed under the name uncultured bacterium. Its description in RNAcentral is "bacterial SSU rRNA". It matches the Rfam family "Bacterial small subunit ribosomal RNA", at positions 355 to 764 of the family's 1533-position model. The record is from RNAcentral.
UAAGGAAUAUUGCUCAAUGGGAGAAAUCCUGAAGCAGCAACGCCGCGUGGAGGAUGAAGGGUCUAUGACUUGUAAACUCCUGUAAAGAAGGAAAAAAUUCCCAUUUGAUGGGAGAUGAUGGUACUUCUGGAGUAAGCCCCGGCUAACUACGUGCCAGCAGCCGCGGUAAUACGUAGGGGGCAAGCGUUGUCCGGAUUUACUGGGUGUAAAGGGUGCUCAGGCGGAUUUGUAAGUCAGAGGUGAAAUCUUACAGCUUAACUGUGAAACUGCCUUUGAUACUGCAAGCCUAGAGUAUGGAAGAGAGUGAUGGAAUAUCUGGUGUAGCAGUGAAAUGCGUAGAUAUCAGAUAGAACACCAAUGGCGAAGGCAGUCACUUGGUCCAUUACUGACGCUAAAGCACGAAAGCGUGG